GGACGAACGCUGGCGGCGUGCUUAACACAUGCAAGUCGAACGGAAAGGCCCCUUCGGGGGUACUCGAGUGGCGAACAGGUGAGUAACACGUGAGUAACCUGCCCUUGACUUCGGGAUAACUUCAGGAAACUGGGGCUAAUACCGGAUAGGAAUCCUUGCUGCAUGGUGGGGGUUGGAAAGCUUCGGCGGUUUUGGAUGGACUCGCGGCUUAUCAGCUUGUUGGUGGGGUAGUGGCUUACCAAGGCUUUGACGGGUAGCCGGCCUGAGAGGGCGACCGGCCACAUUGGGACUGAGAUACGGCCCAGACUCCUACGGGAGGCAGCAGUGGGGAAUAUUGCACAAUGGGCGGAAGCCUGAUGCAGCAACGCCGCGUGCGGGAUGACGGCCUUCGGGUUGUAAACCGCUUUCAGCAGGGGCGAAGCUUGUGGUGACGGUACCUGCAGAAGAAGCACCGGCUAACUACGUG
Molecule: ribosomal RNA, 466 nt
Filed under: uncultured bacterium
Lineage: Bacteria
Description: partial 16S ribosomal RNA
Rfam family: Bacterial small subunit ribosomal RNA
Source: RNAcentral